Malus domestica (apple) is the source of this 7764-nucleotide non-coding RNA. The record is from RefSeq and is a predicted model, not a curated record. NCBI's taxonomy places the organism in Eukaryota, Viridiplantae, Streptophyta, Magnoliopsida, Rosales, Rosaceae.
ACAUUUCACUUUUGUAGUUCCUCCGUUCAUUUGUUUCGAAGCGCAGCCCUGAGCCUCCGGCCCUCACCAACGUCGUCCCUCACCAUACUGUCGAAUUCCGACCAGCCACCGGCCCACCACCACACCAUACUCUCGUCUCUGACUCUCCAGCCUUCCUUCACCACACAACCACCGCUCUCUCUCGCGAUCUCUCUCUCUCUAGGGCGAUUGUCUUUCAUGGACAGGUCAGGUCACAGAACUGGGGAUCUCUCUCACGGUCUCACCACCACACCGAGUCUGAGUCUCACUCUCACCCCAAAUUAGCCUCCUCUCGGCCCUUCGAGCUUCAAUCCGCCUUGCCGAUCGCCUCCUCUCGGCGCCUCCACCUAAACCCCUCUGGUUUUUGAAAAAAAAUUCACCUUCAGAGAUUGAGGAAAAAUAUAUAAAGGCUGUUGGUGAUCGGUAUAAAGACAAAAUAAAAAAGGUAUGAAUAAAAUGUUUGAGAUUAUAUGAUUUGAUUUGAUUUUGUAAUGUAUAGAAUUAGCUUUAUAUUUUUCAGAUUAAAUGGGUUUAGGACUGUAUUGGUUAAAUCUAAAUAAAUUUUUGGAAUUUGCUAUGAACAAUAGUUUGUUUCAUUACGGGGUUCGAUGGUUCUACUUUUGAACUGCACAGGGUUGAGAAAGGAAAGGAAAAAAAUUCAUUUAGGUGUUCAUUAAAUCCAAAUCCCGGUUGAUAUGUCUUAGGAAUCCUUUUAAUUGUUUUAGCCGACCCCACUUAGUGGGAAAAGGCUUUGUUGUUGUUGUUGACUAUUUCCCAUAAAUUGGACUGAUACUGUUUGGUGAACAUGUAAGGUUUGAAAUGUUCCAUACAACAAUAAUGCUAAUCAUAUGGAUUCAACUUAUUGGUUGAUGCUUUAAGACUUUGCUCUCUGAUCAUACAUUCUUUUGGUUAAUUUAUUGAUAAUCCUGCUUAAAAAUUGUUUGGAUGCAUAUGGGGAAGAGGAAAAAGAAGCUACAACUUUAGGUGACCAGAAACAUCAGAAGAACAUAAAGAAGGAAAGAAAGCAUGAUGCUUUUGUUAGUUUCGUUCUCGGUGAAAAACAGCAAUCUUGAUGCUAGGAAGGUUCGCACCUAAUGGAUAUAAUGAUUCAAUUCAAAACACAUGUGCUUUCAACCUAAUUUCAGGAUAUUAGCUUUACAAAUAAAUCUACGUUUGUGGAACAAUUGACACUUCAAAUGGGUUGAAUGUCACCACCUGUGGAGGAGUAAGGAUUUGGCUUUAGUGACUUCUGCAAACUGUAGCUUUCAUACUACAUCAACUCUCAAGGUUACUCUGCAUAUCAUCAUCUAAGGAGACGUGGAUGUCCGUUUUUUGGGAAGCGGUCUCUGCGUAUGUGAAUCUAAGGAACAGGUGGUCACAUUGGUGGAUUAUUCGGUUUUUGCUGUGGCGUUUUUCGUCUUUGUGAAGAGAAUCAAUCUCAUCACCCUCUGUGCCCACCAGCCAUCAACACUUUAGUAUUACACAAUAAACUUAGAACAUGCAAAGUUCGGAUGAUUUCAAUUUCAAUCUAGAUGAUUUGGAUUCUGAUGCAAGUUUGGUUUCGGGAACUCACUCUCAUCUCUUUUCAAUCUUGUGCGAAAAUUGCAAAGAUUGUGGCCUAGAGAGUAGAGAUCACCAUCUUCCUCGCUCUCAUCUCUCUCCCUCUUCGAUCUUCUGCAAAAAGUGCAAAGACAAUUGGCUGGAAAUCACCAUCUACAAGAAAUCUCACACUAGUUCUUUCCAUUUGUCAAGAUAGCUAUGGUAAGAUCAAACCUGUUGUGCUUGCUGAAUACUCCGACUUGCUAAAUUUGUUCAGUUUUCUCACACUAGUUCUUCCCAUCUGUCAAGAUAGCUAUGAUAAGAUCAAAUAUGUCGUGCUUUCAGUUUUCCUUAGUGACACUUAGAUAUUGGUUACUCAUCCAUUUGAAAUCUUGUAUGCUCUUCCAUUUGUCAUAGCUACGACUUGCGUGGUUCUUCACUACAAUCGUAUUGUUUACUUUGUUUAUGAUAGUCGGGCGUCUGUAUCGUUAAAGAAUAGGUUUGCGGAAGUACUGUCAUGCAAGUAGGAGAAGUUCGUAUUUAUGUGCGAAGAUAAGCGUGAAAAUAUGAUUGAUUCUGUUUUUGUCGGAAGGGAAUGGAUCUUGAAAGAAGUAUGAAAACAAGCAAAGAGAGAAUUGAGCGUUAAGGCAAAUAUUUUACAAGUUACUGAAGCCUUUAGCAAACAUCUUACACAAUUAUAUAAGAGCAAGAAUUGGAAACAGAAAGAUGGCUUUGUCGAGAUUAUCAUUGCUAAGAGGGGCAAUCAUGGAGCAAUAUGCACGGUCUAGAGCCCAAUAUGGAAGAAAAGGGCAACAUCCCCAAUCAAUUCGAGACCAAACCUAUAAAGGUUGAAGGGUGCUAUGCUAGCAUUGGAAUGAGAUCCUUUUUUGUAAAAGGUGUUAUUGGAGGCUUUUUGGAAGAUCGGUCAAACUGAAUGAUACAUCAUAACCAAGUGGAAAAACCAGCCGAUCAAGUGGAAGAACCGGUAGAGAAAGUGGAAGAACCGGCAAAGAAAGUGGAAGGGGCUGAUGUAGACCAUGAAGUUCUUUACACACUUGAAAAGGCAAUGUUAAGUGCGUGCUGUGGUGACCCAUACAUUGGUGGGUACAUCAAUUCUCGCUACGCUGGUCAUCAAAUUUACAAAAGCAUACCCACAGUGCACCUGUUGGAUCUAUACAAGAAACAUUACGAUAAUGAUGUGAUCAAGAACUCCAACCAAAACGGAAAACUUGAAAUGUUUGUUCACGGUUGGUGCUGUUUCUGUUGAAACCAAUAGGGUGUCUUCAAGACUAUGCCAUUUUGGGUUUCAUAAAGGGAUACGUAAUGCACUGUUUGGUUGACACCGAAGGUUUUUUCAAAGAAAAAUGGAGACUGCCAGGGAGAACGUUACAAGGUGUGAUGAUGAGGUAUUAGGAACCUUACAAUUUGGUUAUUUUUACCCAAAACUCCCCCAAAAAAUCAAAGGGUCGCAAAAGAGGAAAGACUCCAAAACCACGAAGGGCCACACUACUGAUCGAGCUCUUAUGAGGUCUUGGGGAAGUUGGUUCCUAAAGGUUAUAACAAGGAUCUGAUUGGUUUUAGCUUGGAUUAUAGUGGACAACUUUCAAGUUUAGAUCCGGCUGACUCUAGUAAGAGUAGGGUAAGCAUUAAUGCUAUUAAUCUUCUAAAUUUUUAUGAAAUGAUAUUUGUAUAGAUUAUGUAAAGAAAAACAUUUUGAAUUUUGUUAUUGCAUCAGGUUUUAUGAGAUGGUAGAAGAGGCAUCAUUUUUUUGGUUUCGUGUCCCAAAUGAAAAGCAACCAUCAAGAUGAAGAGCAACUGAUCAUAUGAUGCUAAAUUUUGUGUUUUGGAAGGAGUAUCUGGAUCUGUUUCCAUGAAGUGAGGUUUUGUUUGUGUAUUGAUUUGACGUGAUCAAACGCUUUAGAUGUUGUUUCUUGUAUUGACACUAUAUAGAUCAAAGGCUGGAUAUCUAAGUUUGGUUCGGUGAAUUGAAAUUGUCCUACAUUAUCUUCUUGAUAUUGGAUUUCAUUUGGCAUAUUCGUAUCCGAGUACCUGAUUGUUUAUGUGGUGCUAAUAGCGCUUUUGGUGUUGUUCAAUCUGGUACUCAGAUACGAAUAUGCCAAAUGAAACCCAAUAUCAAGAAGAUAAUCUAGUACAAUUUCAAUUCACCAAACCAAACUCAGAUAUCCAACCUUAGAUCUAUAUAUUGUCAAUACAAGAAACAACACCUAAAGCGUUUGAUCGUGUCAAAUAAAUACACAAACAAAACCACACAUCACGGAAACAUCCGAAUCUAGAUACUCAUUCUAAACCACAAAAUUUAGCAUCAUAUAAUCAGUUGCUCUCCAUCUUGAUGGUUGCCCUUCAUUGGGGACAUGAAACCAAAAAACCGAUGCCUUUUGUACCAUCUCAUAAAAGCUGAUGCAAUAACAAAAUUGAAUGUUUUUCUUUGUAUCAUCCUAUACAAAUAUCAUUUCAUGAAAAUUUAAAAAAUUAAUAGCAUUAAUGCUUGCCCUACUAUUACUAGAGCUAGUCAGAUCUGAACUUGAAGGUUGUCCAUGAUAGUCCGGGCUAAAACCAAACAAAUCCUUGUUAUGACCUUCGGGAACCAACUUCUCUAAGACAUCAUAAGAGCUCAGACAGAAGUAGUGUGGCCCUUCGUCUUUGGGUGGUUUUCAGGCCUUUCCUCUUUUGUAACCCUUUGAUUUUUUAGGAGGUUUUGGGUAAAAAUAACCAAACUGUAAGGUUCCUAAUACCUCAUCAUCACACCUUGUAGUAUUCUCCCUCCAUUUUUCUCUUAAAAAGCUUUCGGUGUCAACCAAACAUUGUGCAUUAUGUAUCCCCUUAUGAAACCCAAAAUGAAAUAGUCUUGAAGACACCUCGUUGGUUUCGAGCAGAAACAGUGCCAUACGUCGCCAACCCUGGUAGUGAAAAUAAACAUUUCAAGUUUUCUAUUUCAAGUGGAGUUCUUGAUCACAUCAUCGUAAUGUUUCUUGUAGAGAUCCAAUGGGUGCAUUGUAGGUAUGCUUUUGUAAAUUUGAUGACUAGUGUAGCGAAACUUGAUGUACCCACCAGUGUAUGGGUCACCACAAUACGCACUUAACAUAGCCUUUUCAAAUGUGUAAAUGACUUCGUGGUCUAUAUCUGCCCUUUCCACUCUCUGCCGGUCCUUGCUCUGCCGGCUCCUCCACUUGCUCAGCCGAUUUUUCAACUUAGUUAUGAUGUAUCAUUCGUUUUGACCAAUAUUCCAAAAAGCCUCCAAUAACACCUUUUACAAAAGAGGAUCGCAUUUAAUGCUAGCAUAGCACUCUUCAACCUUUAUAGGUUUGGUCUCGAAUGGAUUGAGGAUUUUGCUCUUUUCAUCCAUAUCAGGCUUUAGACCAAUUGUGUAUAUUGCUCCAUGCUCGCUCCCUUUAGAAAUGAUAAUUUCGACAAAGGUAUCUUCCCGUUUCAAAUUCUUGCUCUUAUAUAAUUGUGCAAGACGUUUGCUAAAGGCUUCUGCAACUUGUAAAAUAUUCGCCUUAACGCUCAAUUCUUUUUUUGCCCGUUUCCAUACUUCCUUCAAGAUCCAUUCCCUUCCGGCAAAAACAGAACUAAUCAAAUUUUCCUGCUCAUCUUCGCACAUAAAUAUGAACUUCUCCUCCUUGUCUGACAAUACUUCCACAAACUCAAUUCUUUAACGGUGCAUAUGCUCGACUGUCACAAACAAAGUAGACAAUACGAUUGUAGAGAAGAACCAUGCAAUUCGUAGGUAUUUUAACGAAAGAGUAUUCUGCAAUAUACAAGAUUUAAAAUGGAUGAGUAACCAGCAUCGAAGUGCCACUAAUGAAAUCCGUUGGCCUGCCAACUCGCUAGAGGUGGUUCGGUAUGGGAUCCCAUACCGAAACCCUUGUCCCGAUUCCCAAACCAAAAUUUUCGGGAAUCUCAAUUUCAAUACCGAUCCCAAACCAAAUUUUCGGGAAUCCCGAAAUAGUUUCGGGAUUUCGGGACAAAUUGGGAAUCCCGAAAUGGUUUUGGACUUUUGGACAAAAAGCCAAUAUUGGGCCAUGCCCAAAAUCUGUCCACCCAGCCUAGUAAUGAAUAUGUCCAAUUGUAUAGUCACUCAAUUCAACAGCCCAUAUGGGCUUAACCUAAUUCAACAAAAAACAAUUUUAUUUCUACUACACAUGUCAAAUCUGUGUACAAAUCUAUUUUAAAGCAAUUUGCCAAAUAUAUUCAACAGCCCAUAGUGAAGUACAACAUGUCAAAUCGAAAAGCAAAAAUAUUAGUUACAAGUCAAGGUUUUAAAAUAAAUAAAGUAACAAACUCAAAAGCAAAAAAAUUAGUUCCAAGCCAAAGUUUCAAUAAUUAAGUUACAAACCAAAAGCAAAAAAACAAAGCCUAAAAUUUAUGAAGAUUGUUGGCCUCUUCGGCCCCUAAUACCGAGACCAUAUGUGUACUAGAUUGGCUACUAGACCCGUUCAUCCUACUUAACAAAUAAAAUAACAAUGCACAUUAAUAUAUAUCACAACCACAGUUCAGCAUAUAUCCAAAUUCCAAUCAAUAAUCUGAGCAUAGAAAAAUCUGAGCAUUCAAAAAUCUGAGCAUUCAACAUGGAAAAAUCUGAGCAUAUAUUGUGUAUUUGAACUACAAAGCAAAUAAAAUCUGAGCAUUCAACAUAGAAAAAUCUGAGCAUUCAACAUAGAAAAAUCUGAGCAUAUAUCGUGUAUUUGAACUACAAAGCAAAUAAAAACCAGGGUGAAAAUUUGAAAAUCGUAUACUAACUAAUUUUCAUAUAACACAUACAAAACUUGAAGCAUUAAAGCAAUCGCAUAGAUAUGAAAAUACUUACACUCCAAGAAGAAACGGCCACACUUCAGCUCGAAUACUUGGAUCAACACCCUGCAUCAGAAAGUAAGUGAUUAAUAUCCAACAGCUGUAAAACAUACAUCAAUUUUAAAGUAAGUUGACGGAAAUAGAAAAAUAAGUCUGACAAAAGUCAAGAACAUACUCCGCUACGAACUUUCUUUAAAAACUUGAGACCCCCAUCAGUGAGUUUCCCAUCUGGUGAAACAGAAACAAUUUCCAUGUUUCAACACAUAGGAAUAGGAUGUCACACACUUCACGUCUUAUUAUCUAAUCACCUAGCCAGGGAUGCAUAAGUAAAGUUACAUACAGAAGUGUAGUUUUGAAAACCAUAUCACACAUACCUGGAGAAGCAAAGUACCAUCAUUGCAUUUAUCUGCAACCCGUUUGCUCACAUGGAAAGGAUCUGUAAAAUGCACUGCUAGGGUCCUGCACAAAUUAAUAAUCAAUAAAAGACAUCUACAAUUUUGAAAGAUAAGAACAAAAAGUAGAACAAAAUAAAAGAAAAAUACCUCUCAAAUAUCUGAUUGUGAGAUACACCAAAUUCAAGUUUGAGUGCUAUCAUCCUCAUUCCAUCCACAAUGCUCUGUCUCUGGGGAGCCACUGCAUAAUGCAUUAUGUACAGGUAAAGGAAGAACCCAGAAGAGAUAUGUUCACUGAAGGACUUGACAGGAGCGCCCUUCAUGGGGUUAGAAAGUGAUUGAAUUCUGGGUUUUUAGCCGUACCCAAUUUUAGUCGACCCAUGCAGCAUAGGGCAUUUGCCCGUUUGCUUUCCUUUUCUCACCAGACAUCUCUGCCAGCAUGAUCCGCCAAACUCGCCGAUCGCGUCUGCUUUCGCGGACUAGGUCUUCUACUCCCUAAAAGGCUGAUUAACACCAGCAACCACAACACCAACAAGGACUACUGCAGCUUUGAUGUUAAGCAAAGGUGUUCCAUGGGAACCACAUAUUGUUCGAAACUAUCUCAAAGAAGUGGAGAGAUUUGUUACGUAGCUCCAGACUAUGCCAACUAUGAAGCUCUAGAAAAAUGGUGCGGAAAUUGGCUGUUUGUCAUUGAUGAGGUAUAAUCCAAUAGCUAAUAAGUAUGCUCCUAUAUUCGACACUUUAAUUAUGUCUAGAACUAAUGUUGUUAUUACUACUUUCAUUUUUACAGAAGGAAAGGUUUUUUGUUCUUCAUUUCUUGCUAUAUCAUCUAGGGUUGUGCAAACUAUUCAUUAUAGGGGAUCCCUUCAUGUAUAUAGUUGUUUCUUGCGAAGAUUUCCGCAAACUAUUUUUGUUAUGUCGAAGUUGAAAUCUUUUUUUACGAUUGUAAAUAGAUUUCACAUGUAUGCAAAUAGUAUAUAUACACAUUAUAACUUUCUACAUA